CGAAAAGUAAAGCCAUCUCCAGAAGACUUGCUCUCUCUCCGUGCUCAUGUUCUUAAUUUUGUAUUUCAAUGGUUUUUCCUCUGUCAGAUGUCUCACAGUAAUAAGUUUGUGAAGGAAUGUCUUCUGACCGAACGAACAAACAUAUACAGAAGAUACAAAUGAGGAAUACUUGGUGGAAAAGUUGAUUGCAGAAGCAUCUGAAGGAGAAAAUUGUUGUGCUAUUAUAUUCACUGACGUCUGCAACGCUGCAAUGAUCACAUUUACCGGGCAGUCUGCUGAUGCAUUUAUGACCAUAAUAGCUGGUGAAUUGCAGGUACUGCUGGAAGACCAUAUGACUUUGGCAUUAUGGCUUCUGUAUUUGUUGGUUUGUAUAUCCAAAGCAUUUUACUGUGUUGAAAUAACAAAAUAUUAGAAAUAAACGGCUUAUAAAGAGUAACAUUUCUGUGGUAACUCUAUAAUUUUCUAUUUCUCUUUUGGACACAAGCUCAUUCCUUACGGAUAUUGUCACUAUACCUCAAUUUCUAAUAGCAAAGCUUUGUUCACGUUGGGCCCGGGCAAAGCCCGGGCUACCCUUACUAGUUUUAUAAGGCGACUUGUCGAAUUUUAAUCUCACUAAAACAAGUGUGCAGUUUGCAACCAACCACGUGAAUAAUGUGAGAAAUAUGUGCUCUGCAAAUUACUGCUACUAAAUUGAUCACUCGUCUCUUGUUAUAUGCUUUGGUUGCUACUUGAUCUUGCUUGUUAUCCAUGCCUUGUUAUCUAUUAUUUAAAUUUUCACUUGUUUGGUUUAUUUAUUUCUCGCUCAAUAUCUAUUUACCUACUAUAUGUUACUACCUGAAUUAAUUGUAUAACUUUAUUGUUUCAUGUGUUACUUGCCUUUAUUGUCUUUACAUUACUUGUUACACUUUAUUUCAAAUUUUGUGAGUUUUUUAGCUAUUCUUGUAUUGGUAAUUUGUAGAGAAAUAUGGAUACGAGGUAUUGGUUACCUUCGUUUGUAUUGGUAGUUCAUUGAUGUUCUGUACACUUUAUUUUCCUUUCGUGUUGAGAUUCCAUUAUUGGUUGUGUUGAGUUGCUUAGGUGUAUGUGUUGAUAUUAGGAAUGGGUUGCGCUCUGCAAUAGUAUUGAAAUGAAUUUAGAUAUCGGGGUAGGGUUGCAUGAUAAGUAGAUAUUUUGACCGAUUAUUUGCUCUCUUUUAACUGCGAUUUAGCUCAAAAAUACUU
Molecule: non-coding RNA, 1220 nt
Organism: Nicotiana tabacum (common tobacco)
Lineage: Eukaryota; Viridiplantae; Streptophyta; Magnoliopsida; Solanales; Solanaceae
Source: RefSeq, a predicted model, not a curated record